This 253-nucleotide ribosomal RNA is filed under the name uncultured bacterium. RNAcentral describes it as "partial 16S ribosomal RNA". It matches the Rfam family "Bacterial small subunit ribosomal RNA", at positions 524 to 776 of the family's 1533-position model. The record is from RNAcentral.
UACGAGGGGUGCAAGCGUUGCUCGGAAUUAUUGGGCGUAAAGGGUAGGUAGGUGGUCUCAUUUGUCUGGGGUGAAAGCCUUGAGCUUAACUCAAGAAGUGCCUCAGAAACGGUGAGACUAGAGUCCUGGAGAGGGUCGUGGAAUUCCCGGUGUAGCGGUGAAAUGCGUAGAGAUCGGGAGGAACACCAGAGGCGAAGGCGGCGACCUGGACAGGUACUGACACUCAACUACGAAAGCGUGGGGAGCAAACAGG